Molecule: unclassified non-coding RNA, 500 nt
Filed under: Monilinia sp. F0612
Lineage: Eukaryota; Fungi; Ascomycota; Leotiomycetes; Helotiales; Sclerotiniaceae
Description: partial contains 18S rRNA, ITS1, 5.8S rRNA, ITS2 and 28S rRNA
Source: RNAcentral
GGAAACGGUCUCAGCAGAUCGAGGUACCAUAGAAAUUUGGGUUUUGGCAGAAGCACACCAGGAACCUGUAACGAGAGAUAUUACUACGUUCAGGACCCAGCGGCGCCGCCACUGAUUUUAGAGACUGCCAUUGCUGACAUGGACUCAAUACCAAGCUGUGCUUGAGGGUUGAAAUGACGCUCGAACAGGCAUGCCCCCCGGAAUACCAAGGGGCGCAAUGUGCGUUCAAAGAUUCGAUGAUUCACUGAAUUCUGCAAUUCACAUUACUUAUCGCAUUUCGCUGCGUUCUUCAUCGAUGCCAGAACCAAGAGAUCCGUUGUUGAAAGUUUUAACUAUUAUAUAGUACUCAGACGACAUUAAUAAAAAGAGUUUGAUUAUCCUUUGGCGAGCGUCCGAAAACGACUCGCCAAAGCAACAAAGUAAUAAUACACAAGGGUGGGAGGUCUACCCUUUCGGGCAUGAACUCUGUAAUGAUCCUUCCGCAGGUUCACCUACGGAAG